This 408-nucleotide ribosomal RNA is filed under the name uncultured bacterium. RNAcentral's name for it is "partial 16S ribosomal RNA". It matches the Rfam family "Bacterial small subunit ribosomal RNA", at positions 28 to 526 of the family's 1533-position model. The record is from RNAcentral.
GACGAACGCUGGCGGCGUGCUUAACACAUGCAAGUCGAACGAAGUGGCGAACGGGUGAGUAACGCGUAAUCAACCUGCCCUUCAGAGGGGGACAACAGUUGGAAACGACUGCUAAUACCGCAUACUGAAGGAGGGGAUUGAGUCUGAUUAGCUAGUUGUAGGGGUAACGGCCCACCAAGGCGAUGAUCAGUAGCCGGUCGUAGAGGCUGAACGGCCACAUUGGGACUGUGACCCGGCCCCGAUCACUACGGGAGGCAGCAGUGGGGAAGCUUCCGCAAUGGACGAAAGUCUGACGGAGCAACGCCGCGUGAGUGAUGACGGCCUUCGGGUUGUAAAGCUCUGUUAAUCGGGACGCGGUACCGGAAUAGAAAGCCACUGCUAACUACGUGCCAGCAGCCGCGGUAAUUC